RNAcentral lists this long non-coding RNA (2684 nucleotides) under Malus domestica (apple). RNAcentral's name for it is "long non-coding RNA (MDOM_LNC000960)". The record is from RNAcentral. Lineage: Eukaryota; Viridiplantae; Streptophyta; Magnoliopsida; Rosales; Rosaceae.
ACUAAAUCAUUUUAUUGACUUGGAAUUAUAACAAGUAAACAUUUUUGGCUUCCCAAUUUGGUGGUGCUCUUCCUUUUCCCUUCUGUUAUGAUGAAUGUUGUUGCAGAAAUGUGUUAUGCCCUGUGAUUUGUAGUUUGUGGUGUACAACCAAAAGUUGAGAUAUCAGUGCUAAAUAGAAAAUGUUUUGUUGGGAGGAUAGGAAGCUGAAAAUAUUAAAAUGAUUGAACGUCUAUAAUUUGAUAAGUCAACUUUUAAAAUAUCUAUAUUACGCUCUAAUCUAAUUAUGUUUUGAUGUAGAUUUACCUUUGUUUAUACCAUAUUUAGGGCCUCGUAUUUAGACCUCGUACAAUUACUUGAGGGACUUAAAUGUAAUUAUGUGAUAAAGGAAUGGGCAAAUAUGUAAUAAGUGAGGAGUCCUUAUUCUAUAAAAGGACCCCUCACCCUCACAAUUGAGGGAGGCCAUUUGGGAGGUCAUUUUUGAGGCCAAUUCCUAAGGCUCCUCACCCUCUCAACGUCUCACUCCCAGAGCUCUCUCCCUCAAAUAAAUACAAUCAGUGUGGACGUAGCCCAAACCUUGGGGUGAACCACGAUACAUCUUGUGUUAUUUACAUUUCUUGCAGAUACACGGUCUGAUUUACGUUGUUCCAAGACCUCCAAUUUUGUGCAUCAACAACCUUUGUUUAUACAUAUAUGAAAUUCUUAUACUUUCAUGAUUUUUAGGAUUGAAGGUGCUCAAGCUCUGAUGUAGAUUUAUCUUCCAGUUGCUUGUGAGUCUAAAUUUAAUUCAGUUUAUUUAUAGUAUUUUCAAACACUCACUUGCAUAUAUUUAUGUUCAAUAAUAGGUAUUAUUUGUGGUAGACCUAUCCCAUCCGAAAGAUGAUUGAAUAUAUUGAAAAGAAGAUGGCGAAAUUGUACUCUCAAUUUAGGCAUCGGUUACAUCGGCACUUAUCAUGUGAAACACCUACAAGAGGACGAGGUAAACUUCCAAAUGAUCUAAUGUUGAAUGGGAGACCAAGAAGUCAUUUGGAGUGGUUAUGCGAUGAUGUUUACGCUACUACACUCUUUUUUAUAUGUAUUCUAUACAAUCUUUUCUUGUAUAAGUCCAAGUUAGAUACCAAUGUUUUCUUAUAUGGUUAAAAAAACAAUUUUUUAAUUAAGAGUUGAUUUUGUGAUAAAGCUCUGAUAAUCUAUGUAAUGUUACCGUACAGUAAUAUAGGGGUGCUUUACAAGUAUUUUGUUAACAUUAGUCAUAACCAUAUGCAUGUAUUGUUUGCAUUCGUAUGCUUCUCAUCGCUUUUAAUUAUGCAUUUCAAAUUGGUAAAAUUUGAGAAUGGCUAAAAGAGUACUAGAGCUGAAAGCAAUUUAUUUAGUGUUUAUGAAAAUUUGAAUUAAUAUGUACAACUGAAAUAUAUCACUUUAUGGGUGCGUUUGUUGCACUGGACUAUCUCGGACUGGACUAGCUUCAGGGACUAAACUAGGCUGGCUUGAAAUAGAAUAAGCUGGACUGAUUUAGUAAAGCGUUUGGUAUAGUAUCGAACUAAGAAACAUGAGUCAAAUAUUAUAUUAUUUAAUUUGUACCUAUUAAAAUUUUAUUAUUAAUUUAUAUUUUUAUGAAUAUUAUAUUAUUACUUCAACUUUUUCUUUUGUUCUUUUCUAGAAUCAUGUUUUCCUAUUGUUUUCUCCCCCACUAUCUUCCUCCCCUCUCCCCUUUUUCUCCCUUAUUUCACCCUCCUGUUCUCUGUACCAGGUUGCUCCUUGCUUUGUUGUUCCUUUUGCUUUUCCUUUGCCUUCAUGUGUGAGAUAGGGGUUGAAUUUUGAGUUGGGGGCAAAAUGCAUGUGUUAUUGGCUCGAAGGUGGGAGUUAGGGGCUGAAUCUGGUUUGGGUUUCUGGUUUUUUUGGUUUUCUGGGUUUUUUUAUUUUUUGGGUUCAAAUUUUGAGAGUUGGAUUUGGUUUUGAAAAGGGAAAAAUUGAAAAAGUUUUGCUUUUUUGUUGCGAGUUUUGCAGGAUCUGGGUUUGAAAGGGUUGUAGAAUAAAGUGAUAAAAAACUUAUCUAUUGAUGAGAAAAAUCAAUAAACAAAUAAAAUCAUCAAGACAUAAGAAUAAAGUGAUCAAAAACUUAUCUAUUGAUGAGAAAAAUCAAUAAACUUUCUUAUGUUUGGUUACUAUGACUACAGAUGAGACGAGACGAAGGCUUUCUAAAAAGUGAAAAAGGGUCACUGUUGUACCCCAAAAGUCGAAAAAAUAAUAAUAAACUACUCAUAGGAAACCUAAAAUAAUAAAAUAUUAAAUCCAUUCUUUAGAACCGGAUGACUACUCCUAGGAAACCUAAACUAAUCACUAUAGACUACUUCCUAUAAACUAAUCAAAUAAAAAGAUUUAUUGAAAUGUGUGUGUCAAUGUGUAUGAUUUGAAAUAUAAUAAUAAUAAAUUUUGAUAUUGAUUAAAGUAAAUAAUUUAUGUAAUAUUUAUUAACUCUUACUUUCUAAAAGUAGUAUUAUUUUUCAAAACUUUUACUUAUUGGGUGGGCUAUAACAAUUAAAAAUAAUAAAAUAGUCUAAAUCAUCAGUAUUUUUAACCUUAAACAAUUAAAACUCUCCCUAUGCUAGAGCCCACCCUAGCCUUGUUACUGCCUCCGCCGUUGCCGGCAGUUUCUUACACAACACAAAAAUGACGGGUUUCGAGUC